AUAUUGCGCAAUGGGCGAAAGCCUGACGCAGCGACGCCGCGUGCGGGAUGGAGGCCUUCGGGUUGUAAACCGCUUUUAUCGGGGAGCAAGCGAGAGUGAGUGUACCCGUUGAAUAAGCACCGGCUAACUACGUGCCAGCAGCCGCGGUAAUACGUAGGGUGCAAGCGUUAUCCGGAUUUAUUGGGCGUAAAGGGCUCGUAGGCGGUUCGUCGCGUCUGGUGUGAAAGUCCAUCGCUUAACGGUGGAUCUGCGCCGGGUACGGGCGGGCUGGAGUGCGGCAGGGGAGACUGGAAUUCCCGGUGUAACGGUGGAAUGUGUAGAUAUCGGGAAGAACACCAAUGGCGAAGGCAGGUCUCUGGGCCGUUACUGACGCUGAGGAGCGAAAGCGUGGGGAGCGAACA
Molecule: ribosomal RNA, 401 nt
Filed under: uncultured bacterium
Lineage: Bacteria
Description: bacterial SSU rRNA
Rfam family: Bacterial small subunit ribosomal RNA
Source: RNAcentral